AUGCUCUCGGGACUGAGAAAGCCCACGCUGGCUCCCCCGCCUCUCCCUCCGUGGGGUUUGAGAAGCUCAUCUGCUCUCCUCUUGGGACGUGGCCCUCUCCUGGUCCCCGGCAGCCUUCUAGGGAGAGCAUCCAUGGGAGGGGGGCGUGGACGGGCAGAGGGAGAGGUCCCUGGAUGGCAGCUGUCGCGGCUCAGAGACAGGCAGCAUGGGUGGGGGAAGCGAGUGCAGAGCAGGCCCCAGGAGGGCAGCUUCCAAGAAGAAGCAGAGAUGGAUGAGACCCGGAUGACCUUGAUUAUUGAGAAGAGAGUUCCCUUCCCCUCUGGGAAGUGGCUUCAAGAGUCGGGAGGCUGGGGCAGAGGAUUGCUACUGUUCCUGACACACUCAAGAGUGAUGCGGUGGUCAGUUGGAGAUGUUAGCUUGGCGGGGCUCCAGUCCUCAGUUAUUCAGGCACGGAGCUGGGUGUUGCUGUGCAGGCAGUUUGCAGAUGUGAUUUGAAUCCAUAACCGGUUGACUUUAAAUAAAGAAGAUUAUCCUCCACCCUCUGGGUGGGUCUGAUUCACCCCCUCGAAGGGCUUUAAGAGCAGAUCUGAGAUUCCCCUGAAGCAGAAGGCCUAGCACCUGUGGGCGCAGCUUCUGCUUGUGCCCGAGCGUCCAGCCUGCCCUUCCGACGGCCCGCCCAGGCCUGUGCCCUUCAGGCUCGCCCAGCCAGCCCCACUUGCAUGAGCCUCCGACUCCACUCACGCACCUCCGACUAGUUUUGGAUUGGACCCAGCCUCAUACGUGUGCUAACUGAAUUUUUAAACCACUCUACGGAUUAUUUGGAUAAAACUAGACAGUGAAGUAAAAAAUAAAUACAAUUUCAAGCCCUCGGAAAAAGAAAGAGGAAAGCAGAGAAGAAUUGAUUCAAAAAGGACUGGAAGGAAAUACAUGAAUGGAUUUUGUGUUUAUCUCCGGGUGGUGGAGUCACGCGCAUUCCAGCUGGUGGUCCCCAUAACAAACCUCCCCCCACCCCCGCCGUCCCCCUACUUCCAUGGCACACGACUUUGUCAUGGGACUUUUUCUCUUUGGUUCCCAGAAUGUCCCCUUCACGAGUUCAAGCCUGUGUGGGGCAUAAAUUAAAAGUUGG
This 1126-nucleotide long non-coding RNA is filed under the name Canis lupus familiaris (dog). Its description in RNAcentral is "lncRNA (ENSCAFG00030012136.1)". The record is from RNAcentral. Lineage: Eukaryota; Metazoa; Chordata; Mammalia; Carnivora; Canidae.